AUGACGAGACUACCGGAUGAGGAGACGGUGUCCGAGCACUCCGAGCUCGCCUCUGCCACCACUGACCUACAUCGAGCAUCGGUUGCGCGGACGUCAGUUUUCCGUCGCUGCACGUGGCAUCACUGUGCAACUGUUGCUGCCGCCCAGCGGCCGUUUUAUUUUUGCGUGUUGGUAAUCGCCUCGCACACACAUGCGUCGCGUGUUACUAAUUCUCGUAGCGUUACGAUCCCCGGUUACCGUGUGGCGUGUUCGGCAGUCGGCGCUACAACUCCACUCGUCAGUCGUCAGCCUGCUGCGUUAUAACGUCACUGCUUCUCGCGUCGUCCGUGAACAGUUCUUUAUUAUUAUUUUGACAUUUUUUCGACUUAUCAAAUUGCGGCGUGUUAUCAAUUUUCCGCUCGUUCUUUCGCCGUUGAUACGCGACAACAAUAUUCCGAACCGAAGGUGCAGGUGCGACUGACAAGUACGGUCCACGACAAUAUCGGCAAUAUUAUACUUCAGUCAUACAUUACGCAUUUACGCCCUAAUAUCGAUUUCCAGUUGGCUGGGAAACCGACAUAAAAUUUAAGCUAAAUUUCCGAAUCAGCUUUUAAAACAAGUAAAAUGGGAGAAAGACGUGGCACUAAAGCAUUAGAACUAUGGUGUAAGCGAGUGACUCAAGGAUACGAUGGAGUGUCUAUUGAAAAUAUGUCUACUUCAUGGAAAGACGGGCUUGCAUUUUGUGCUCUUAUUCAUCAUUUUAGACCUGAUUUGAUUGAUUAUAAUAGUUUGGACAAAAAUGAUAUUUAUGGUAACAAUGAGUUGGCUUUUCGAGUUGCUGAAAAUCACCUGGGCAUUCCUGCACUUUUAGAUCCCGAAGACAUGGUUUGCGUCGAAAUACCAGAUAGAUUAUCGAUAUUAACUUACCUAUCACAGUUCUACCAAACAUUUUCAUCACAAGCUACGACGCCUGUGAAAACAUCACCUGAAUCGCCGACCACAGUUGAACGGCCAAGAACUAAUACAGGAUCCGGUCAAAAUGCUCCAACAAAGUUGGGCGCAGGCGUUGGCGGUUGUAGAGUGUGCAACCAGUCCGUGUUUCUAGCCCAACGUCUGCUCAUAUCUGGCCACCUGUUCCACCGGACGUGUUUCAAGUGCGCCCGGUGCGCCGCCCUGCUGAGCGUGGCCAACUACUACGAGACGCAGGACGGCAAGUACUGCUGCGAAACGUGCCCGGACGAGGAGCGGACGGUGUCGCCGACCGUGUCGCUGACGACGACGACGACGACGCCGUCGCAACCGCAGCCACCGUCGUCGUCGUCGUCAUCGCUGGUCGGUGACCGCCGGGCGCUGUUCGAAACGCUGGCCGCCGCCGAUUGUACAGACGACGUGAAAGCGUCGAAAAAGGCGCAGCGGCCGGUCACACUCCGAAUGGCCGACCCGUUGACGGCCGCCACCGUCACCGAGAAGGCCGCCAUCACGUGCAGCGACGACAACGACAGCGGAGUAGUGGUGGACAGCGACAAGAAGGAGUCGAGCGACGCGAAAACCUCGGCCAGCGUCACCGGCAGUCGCGAAACCCUGUCCGACGUGGUGGCGGUGGUCGCCGACGAGGAAGGCGGAUCGGUGCUGCCGGACGAGGACCGAGCGACGGACUCGUCUGCCACGACUGCCGCCGUCGUAUCCGACCAACUGCCCGACGUCGUUCCUCCCGUCGUGUCGUCACCUCCUCCACCGUCGUUGCCGGACGAUUCGAAUCCACCCGACGACGAUGUCGCGGACGAAACACCGCAACUCGUCGUUCAGAUACCGCCGCUAUCGGAUGAUGUGAAACAAGUCCUCGAACUUCCUCCGGUUAGUGAUAUCCCCGCCGAAGAGCUGCAGCUAGACUCUCCGGAGGAUUACGAAAUAAAAACCCUAUCCAACAAGCUGCUUAAAAUGGAUUAUUACGAGAGUAAUAAAGAGGUACCGGUUCCUAGUCCUAGAAAACGAAUUAAAUCUCCAAUAAAAAUCAAUUACCCUGAAAGUUUAAAUCCUUUCGACGACGAAGAGGACGAUUGUAACAAAAACAAGAAAGAUAGCACUAAUCCGUUCGGAUCCGAUUUAGAAGACGACGACGACGAACUCUCAGGCAAAAAGAAUGUUAGUUUGAAUCCGUUUUCGAGUGAUGAAGAUGAAAACGAACCUUCUUCUCAGCCCCCAUUGCCCAAACCUAGAAUGGUGUUGUCUCCUAUAUCAAAACCUCGGCACCAAACCCAUCGUAAGCAGAGUAGUGCUUCCAGUAUAUCUUCCUAUUCAAACACUCCACGAAAAAAAAAACCAGCCCCACUACCCCCAGUAUCGAGACUAUCUCUUGGAAACAUUGAAUACUCAAAUAGUUUGCAAGUGUCGUCUCCUAAUAGUUUAGAAGACUCCAGUUGUAGUGGCAGUGAACCGUCCUCGACCAGUAAUCAGGAACGAUACAGAUUACACAAGAGUACACAUGGAAAAUGGAAACGUAAGAAAGGACCAGCCCCUCAGUGUCCAAUACCACAGAGGAGACGAAUUAAACCCAUGCCUAUGGAAGAUAUAAAACAAGAGUUGUUAGAUAUUGAAAUAAAACAGCAAGAGCUUGAGAGACAAGGAGUUAAAUUGGAAAAAGAUAUACGAUUAAAGUGUAACGAAGAUUUGAACAACGUUGAUGUAGAAGAAAUGGUGUUACAACUGUUUGAAUUAGUUAAUGAAAAAAAUGAAUUGUUCCGAAAACACGCCGAACUUAUGUACCUGCGAAAACAACAUAAUUUUGAAGAAGAACACGCUGAGUUAGAAUAUCAAAUUCGUGUAUUAAUGUCUAAGCCUGACCACACUAAAACAGAUACAGAAAAAGCGCGAGAAGAAGAACUUAUCCGAAGAUUGGUUGAAGUUGUAGAAAGGCGUAAUGAAAUUGUUGAAAAUCUAGAAAAAGAUAGAUUGCGUGAAGCUGAAGAAGAUCGUAGUGUGUUCAAUCAAAUUGGAACUUUUGCUCAAGGUUCAAAAAAUAUCCAUCGUAUAGUUUACUAGUAUAAAAAUAUGUUUGACAUCAUUAGUGGUUUGCGGAAUGACGUUUUGUUCGUUUUUUAAGAUGAAACGUUGCCAUGUAUCAAACCAGUAAAUACCACAGUUAUGGAUAGCAAAAAGAACUUUUCCAAAAGACUGUUGAAGAAUAUCAAAAAGGUAAAAUCAAAAAAAGACAAACCGGAUGUUGCGUCGCCGUCCCAAUCGCCGUCAAAUUCCUCACAUAGCAAAGGCACUCUAAAAAAGUUUAUGACACUAGGCCACUCGUCUAAAAAAUUUUUGAGGCCCAAGUCCAGUUAGAACCAACAGUGUGUUUAAAUUGAGAACUGAUGUAAUCAUAAUAAUAACUUUUAAGAUUGUUAAUUUUACUGGACAGUUAACAUUUGAAUUGAUUAAAUGUUAUGUAAACUAGCAACAAUUUGUUAAUUUUAUUUUAUUAAAUAUUUUUGUUGCAAUUUAAAGAGCCAUGUAGUUGUUAUCAAUUGUAUUAUUUGUGGCAUUGCUUAAAUAAUUAAACAUAUCACAUACACAAAUACACAAAUCAUAUGAAUUGCUAGAUUUACAUGUGUAUAAUAUUUAUGUAAUUAUCAAUUUUGUACUUAAGUAUUACUUAACAUUGAACAAGUUAAAUUAUUAUACCAAUUAUAUUUAAUAACCCAUUUACAUGACAUGUAAACCUAGAAUAUGAACCUAUUUAUAUUUAUUGUUUAAUCAUGUUUAAUUAUGUUUAUAUUUAUGUUUGUAAUUAAACUUAAGUGGAAAAAAAUUAUACUCCACUAUAAAAAUCUACA
Molecule: unclassified non-coding RNA, 3803 nt
Filed under: Acyrthosiphon pisum (pea aphid)
Lineage: Eukaryota; Metazoa; Arthropoda; Insecta; Hemiptera; Aphididae
Description: mICAL-like protein 2, transcript variant X2
Source: RNAcentral